GUGAACGCUGGCGGUAGGCCUAACACAUGCAAGUCGAACGGCAGCACAGUAAGAGCUUGCUCUUACGGGUGGCGAGUGGCGGACGGGUGAGGAAUACAUCGGAAUCUACUUUUUCGUGGGGGAUAACGUAGGGAAACUUACGCUAAUACCGCAUACGACCUACGGGUGAAAGCAGGUGAUCUUCGGACCUUGCGCGAUUGAAUGAGCCGAUGUCGGAUUAGCUAGUUGGCGGGGUAAAGGCCCACCAAGGCGACGAUCCGUAGCUGGUCUGAGAGGAUGAUCAGCCACACUGGAACUGAGACACGGUCCAGACUCCUACGGGAGGCAGCAGUGGGGAAUAUUGGACAAUGGGCGCAAGCCUGAUCCAGCCAUACCGCGUGGGUGAAGAAGGCCUUCGGGUUGUAAAGCCCUUUUGUUGGGAAAGAAAAGCAGCAGGUUAAUACCCCGCUGUUCUGACGGUACCCAAAGAAUAAGCACCGGCUAACUUCGUG
RNAcentral lists this ribosomal RNA (491 nucleotides) under uncultured bacterium. RNAcentral's name for it is "partial 16S ribosomal RNA". It matches the Rfam family "Bacterial small subunit ribosomal RNA", at positions 29 to 507 of the family's 1533-position model. The record is from RNAcentral.